UACAGAGGUGGCAAGCGUUGCUCGGAAUUACUGGGCGUAAAGCGCACGUAGGCGGCUUUCUAAGUCGGGGGUGAAAUCCUGGAGCUCAACUCCAGAACUGCCUUCGAUACUGGAAAGCUCGAGUCCGGGAGAGGUGAGUGGAACUGCGAGUGUAGAGGUGAAAUUCGUAGAUAUUCGCAAGAACACCAGUGGCGAAGGCGGCUCACUGGCCCGAUACUGACGCUGAGGUGCGAAAGCGUGGGGAGCAAACAGG
This 253-nucleotide ribosomal RNA is filed under the name uncultured bacterium. Its description in RNAcentral is "partial 16S ribosomal RNA". It matches the Rfam family "Bacterial small subunit ribosomal RNA", at positions 524 to 776 of the family's 1533-position model. The record is from RNAcentral.